Molecule: ribosomal RNA, 2906 nt
Filed under: Escherichia coli
Lineage: Bacteria; Pseudomonadati; Pseudomonadota; Gammaproteobacteria; Enterobacterales; Enterobacteriaceae
Description: 23S ribosomal RNA
Rfam family: Bacterial large subunit ribosomal RNA
Source: RNAcentral
GGUUAAGCGACUAAGCGUACACGGUGGAUGCCCUGGCAGUCAGAGGCGAUGAAGGACGUGCUAAUCUGCGAUAAGCGUCGGUAAGGUGAUAUGAACCGUUAUAACCGGCGAUUUCCGAAUGGGGAAACCCAGUGUGUUUCGACACACUAUCAUUAACUGAAUCCAUAGGUUAAUGAGGCGAACCGGGGGAACUGAAACAUCUAAGUACCCCGAGGAAAAGAAAUCAACCGAGAUUCCCCCAGUAGCGGCGAGCGAACGGGGAGCAGCCCAGAGCCUGAAUCAGUAUGUGUGUUAGUGGAAGCGUCUGGAAAGGCGCGCGAUACAGGGUGACAGCCCCGUACACAAAAAUGCACAUGCUGUGAGCUCGAUGAGUAGGGCGGGACACGUGGUAUCCUGUCUGAAUAUGGGGGGACCAUCCUCCAAGGCUAAAUACUCCUGACUGACCGAUAGUGAACCAGUACCGUGAGGGAAAGGCGAAAAGAACCCCGGCGAGGGGAGUGAAAAAGAACCUGAAACCGUGUACGUACAAGCAGUGGGAGCACAGAGCAAUCUGUGUGACUGCGUACCUUUUGUAUAAUGGGUCAGCGACUUAUAUUCUGUAGCAAGGUUAACCGAAUAGGGGAGCCGAAGGGAAACCGAGUCUUAACUGGGCGUUAAGUUGCAGGGUAUAGACCCGAAACCCGGUGAUCUAGCCAUGGGCAGGUUGAAGGUUGGGUAACACUAACUGGAGGACCGAACCGACUAAUGUUGAAAAAUUAGCGGAUGACUUGUGGCUGGGGGUGAAAGGCCAAUCAAACCGGGAGAUAGCUGGUUCUCCCCGAAAGCUAUUUAGGUAGCGCCUCGUGAAUUCAUCUCCGGGGGUAGAGCACUGUUUCGGCAAGGGGGUCAUCCCGACUUACCAACCCGAUGCAAACUGCGAAUACCGGAGAAUGUUAUCACGGGAGACACACGGCGGGUGCUAACGUCCGUCGUGAAGAGGGAAACAACCCAGACCGCCAGCUAAGGUCCCAAAGUCAUGGUUAAGUGGGAAACGAUGUGGGAAGGCCCAGACAGCCAGGAUGUUGGCUUAGAAGCAGCCAUCAUUUAAAGAAAGCGUAAUAGCUCACUGGUCGAGUCGGCCUGCGCGGAAGAUGUAACGGGGCUAAACCAUGCACCGAAGCUGCGGCAGCGACGCUGAUGCGUUGUUGGGUAGGGGAGCGUUCUGUAAGCCUGUGAAGGUGUACUGUGAGGUAUGCUGGAGGUAUCAGAAGUGCGAAUGCUGACAUAAGUAACGAUAAAGCGGGUGAAAAGCCCGCUCGCCGGAAGACCAAGGGUUCCUGUCCAACGUUAAUCGGGGCAGGGUGAGUCGACCCCUAAGGCGAGGCCGAAAGGCGUAGUCGAUGGGAAACAGGUUAAUAUUCCUGUACUUGGUGUUACUGCGAAGGGGGGACGGAGAAGGCUAUGUUGGCCGGGCGACGGUUGUCCCGGUUUAAGCGUGUAGGCUGGUUUUCCAGGCAAAUCCGGAAAAUCAAGGCUGAGGCGUGAUGACGAGGCACUACGGUGCUGAAGCAACAAAUGCCCUGCUUCCAGGAAAAGCCUCUAAGCAUCAGGUAACAUCAAAUCGUACCCCAAACCGACACAGGUGGUCAGGUAGAGAAUACCAAGGCGCUUGAGAGAACUCGGGUGAAGGAACUAGGCAAAAUGGUGCCGUAACUUCGGGAGAAGGCACGCUGAUAUGUAGGUGAAGUCCCUCGCGGAUGGAGCUGAAAUCAGUCGAAGAUACCAGCUGGCUGCAACUGUUUAUUAAAAACACAGCACUGUGCAAACACGAAAGUGGACGUAUACGGUGUGACGCCUGCCCGGUGCCGGAAGGUUAAUUGAUGGGGUCAGCGCAAGCGAAGCUCUUGAUCGAAGCCCCGGUAAACGGCGGCCGUAACUAUAACGGUCCUAAGGUAGCGAAAUUCCUUGUCGGGUAAGUUCCGACCUGCACGAAUGGCGUAAUGAUGGCCAGGCUGUCUCCACCCGAGACUCAGUGAAAUUGAACUCGCUGUGAAGAUGCAGUGUACCCGCGGCAAGACGGAAAGACCCCGUGAACCUUUACUAUAGCUUGACACUGAACAUUGAGCCUUGAUGUGUAGGAUAGGUGGGAGGCUUGGAAGUGUGGACGCCAGUCUGCAUGGAGCCGACCUUGAAAUACCACCCUUUAAUGUUUGAUGUUCUAACGUUGACCCGUAAUCCGGGUUGCGGACAGUGUCUGGUGGGUAGUUUGACUGGGGCGGUCUCCUCCUAAAGAGUAACGGAGGAGCACGAAGGUUGGCUAAUCCUGGUCGGACAUCAGGAGGUUAGUGCAAUGGCAUAAGCCAGCUUGACUGCGAGCGUGACGGCGCGAGCAGGUGCGAAAGCAGGUCAUAGUGAUCCGGUGGUUCUGAAUGGAAGGGCCAUCGCUCAACGGAUAAAAGGUACUCCGGGGAUAACAGGCUGAUACCGCCCAAGAGUUCAUAUCGACGGCGGUGUUUGGCACCUCGAUGUCGGCUCAUCACAUCCUGGGGCUGAAGUAGGUCCCAAGGGUAUGGCUGUUCGCCAUUUAAAGUGGUACGCGAGCUGGGUUUAGAACGUCGUGAGACAGUUCGGUCCCUAUCUGCCGUGGGCGCUGGAGAACUGAGGGGGGCUGCUCCUAGUACGAGAGGACCGGAGUGGACGCAUCACUGGUGUUCGGGUUGUCAUGCCAAUGGCACUGCCCGGUAGCUAAAUGCGGAAGAGAUAAGUGCUGAAAGCAUCUAAGCACGAAACUUGCCCCGAGAUGAGUUCUCCCUGACUCCUUGAGAGUCCUGAAGGAACGUUGAAGACGACGACGUUGAUAGGCCGGGUGUGUAAGCGCAGCGAUGCGUUGAGCUAACCGGUACUAAUGAACCGUGAGGCUUAACCUU